AUGGCUUCUCAGCUUUUGGCUAACAUCAAGUGUAGCAUGUGUUCUUAUCAGUUUAAUAUCUGGUGUGUCUUCUAUCUAACAACAAUAAAGUCAAUGGAUUUUUAUUUAAACGAGGAGAAAGAUUAAGAGGCUUCUUUAGGCCAGGCAGUGGUGGCACACGCCUUUAAUCCUAGCACUCAGG
Molecule: small nuclear RNA, 181 nt
Filed under: Peromyscus maniculatus bairdii (prairie deer mouse)
Lineage: Eukaryota; Metazoa; Chordata; Mammalia; Rodentia; Cricetidae
Description: U2 spliceosomal RNA (ENSPEMG00000031242.1)
Rfam family: U2 spliceosomal RNA
About the family: U2 is a small nuclear RNA (snRNA) component of the spliceosome (involved in pre-mRNA splicing).
Source: RNAcentral